GACAGAACGCACAGGAAACCAGCACAUUUCCAUGGUACUGCCCAGGUCACUGCAGGUGGAACGCACCAGAUCGAGGCUUCUUUGCACCUGCUCCGGAGACCUGCCCUUGAUAAGCCAGUUGUCGAGAUACAGAAAGAUCUGGACCCCCCAAUGUCUGAGGAAUAUGGAGACAUGGAAGUAUGUGUCCUUGAAAUUGAGAGCGGUGUACCAGUCCCCCAGAUCCAGAGAGGGAAUAAUGGAGGCCAGGGAGACCACGUGGAACUUCAAUUUCUUGAGAGACUUGUUGAGGCCACGCAGACCCAGGAUGGGUCUGAGGCCCCCCAUGGGCCUUUGAGAUUAAUCCCUGCUGGGCUUGUCAAAGCCUUGAUGGCGGCAGAGGCCAGAAUGGCUUUCUGGCAGACUGCAGGGUAUGUAUGCCCAAUGAGUGAAGGGUAGCCUUAGUGUCCUUCAACCCAUGUAGCCUGGCGUCUGUCUGAUCGGAGAACAGUCCAACUCUGUCAAAGGGGAGGUCCUGAAUCGAGGCCUGCAUCUCUUGGGAGAGGCCCACUGUUUGGAGCCAGAAGCUGCAUUGCAUGACCACAGCCGAUGUGACCACCCACGCUGCCAAGUCCCAUGCCAUUUGCAGGGAGCAUCUGGCUGCUGCGGUACUGACCUCUACCAGGGUGCCAAACUCAUGAGCCUCACCCUGAGGAAUGGAAUCCUGGAACUUUAUAAGACUGUGCCAAAGAUUGAACUUGUAUUGGCCAAGCAGGACCUGAUGGUUCGCCACCCGGAAUUGUAGGCUGUCUGUUGAAUAAAUUUUUCUGCCAAAUAAA
This is a long non-coding RNA of Mauremys reevesii (Reeves's turtle), 815 nucleotides long. RefSeq lists it as uncharacterized. NCBI's taxonomy places the organism in Eukaryota, Metazoa, Chordata, Testudines, Geoemydidae. The transcript is spliced from 4 exons. The record is from RefSeq and is a predicted model, not a curated record.